ACCCCUGUGAACAUACCACUUGUUGCCUCGGCGGAUCAGCCCGCUCCCGGUAAAACGGGACGGCCCGCCAGAGGACCCCUAAACUCUGUUUCUAUAUGUAACUUCUGAGUAAAACCAUAAAUAAAUCAAAACUUUCAACAACGGAUCUCUUGGUUCUGGCAUCGAUGAAGAACGCAGCAAAAUGCGAUAAGUAAUGUGAAUUGCAGAAUUCAGUGAAUCAUCGAAUCUUUGAACGCACAUUGCGCCCGCCAGUAUUCUGGCGGGCAUGCCUGUUCGAGCGUCAUUUCAACCCUCAAGCACAGCUUGGUGUUGGGACUCGCGUUAAUUCGCGUUCCUCAAAUUGAUUGGCGGUCACGUCGAGCUUCCAUAGCGUAGUAGUAAAACCCUCGUUACUGGUAAUCGUCGCGGCCACGCCGUUAAACCCCAACUUCUGAAUGUUGACCUCGGAUCAGGUAGGAAUACCCGCUGAACUUAAGCAU
This 479-nucleotide small RNA is filed under the name Fusarium oxysporum f. sp. phaseoli. RNAcentral describes it as "eukaryotic LSU rRNA". The stretch from base 130 to 283 matches the Rfam family "5.8S ribosomal RNA". Lineage: Eukaryota; Fungi; Ascomycota; Sordariomycetes; Hypocreales; Nectriaceae. The record is from RNAcentral.